This 314-nucleotide ribosomal RNA is filed under the name uncultured Actinomycetes bacterium. RNAcentral describes it as "bacterial SSU rRNA". It matches the Rfam family "Bacterial small subunit ribosomal RNA", at positions 43 to 358 of the family's 1533-position model. The record is from RNAcentral. Lineage: Bacteria; Bacillati; Actinomycetota; Actinomycetes.
CGCGCCUAACCUAUGCAGUCGAACGGUGACAGGGGCAUCGACCACGGGAUCAGUGGCGAUCGGGUGCGUAAGAAAAGGGCAACCUGCCCCAGACCCUGGGAUAACCCCGGGAAACCUUACCUAUACCGGAUACUCCGACCGAACCGCAUGGCUCGGCCGGGAAAGGUCCGCCGGUCUGGGAUGGGCCCGCGGCCUAUCAGCUUGUUGGUGGGGUAACGGCCCACCAAGGCGACGACGGGUAGCUGGUCUGAGAGGACGACCAGCCACACUGGGACUGAGAUACGGCCCAGACUCCUACGGGAGGCAGCAGUGGG